ACAUACGACCAUAGGUGCUGAAAAGUUCGGGAUCCCGUCCGCUCUCCUCAUGACAAACCAGCAACCGCCAGGGUAGUAGUUGGGUCGGAGACGACCAGCGAAUGUCUGGUGUUGUAUGUC
This 120-nucleotide ribosomal RNA is filed under the name Chaetomium globosum CBS 148.51. Lineage: Eukaryota; Fungi; Ascomycota; Sordariomycetes; Sordariales; Chaetomiaceae. The record is from RNAcentral.